RNAcentral lists this ribosomal RNA (571 nucleotides) under Colletotrichum aenigma. Its description in RNAcentral is "eukaryotic LSU rRNA". The stretch from base 213 to 366 matches the Rfam family "5.8S ribosomal RNA". The record is from RNAcentral. Lineage: Eukaryota; Fungi; Ascomycota; Sordariomycetes; Glomerellales; Glomerellaceae.
UAACAAGGUCUCCGUUGGUGAACCAGCGGAGGGAUCAUUACUGAGUUUACGCUCUAUAACCCUUUGUGAACAUACCUAUAACUGUUGCUUCGGCGGGUAGGGUCUCCGUGACCCUCCCGGCCUCCCGCCCCCGGGCGGGUCGGCGCCCGCCGGAGGAUAACCAAACUCUGAUUUAACGACGUUUCUUCUGAGUGGUACAAGCAAAUAAUCAAAACUUUUAACAACGGAUCUCUUGGUUCUGGCAUCGAUGAAGAACGCAGCGAAAUGCGAUAAGUAAUGUGAAUUGCAGAAUUCAGUGAAUCAUCGAAUCUUUGAACGCACAUUGCGCCCGCCAGCAUUCUGGCGGGCAUGCCUGUUCGAGCGUCAUUUCAACCCUCAAGCUCUGCUUGGUGUUGGGGCCCUACAGCUGAUGUAGGCCCUCAAAGGUAGUGGCGGACCCUCCCGGAGCCUCCUUUGCGUAGUAACUUUACGUCUCGCACUGGGAUCCGGAGGGACUCUUGCCGUAAAACCCCCAAUUUUCCAAAGGUUGACCUCGGAUCAGGUAGGAAUACCCGCUGAACUUAAGCAUAUC